CCAGUCAAAGCUAAUAUCGAACUCAAUCUCUCCGGCUGUUAUUGGGGUAAUUCUUGUUACCCAUUUCUCCAAGUGUGCUACCUUUCCAAGCUUCCCCAGCAGAUCAUUCGCUGGGUCUCGGACAGCACUGAUAAGCUGUAUGGAGAUGCCUUUGCCAAACAACUCACGAAACCGAUCAAGACAUGAAGCUUUAAUGUCAUCGAAGUCGAGAACAUUUUUCUUCAUCAAC
RNAcentral lists this unclassified non-coding RNA (229 nucleotides) under Hevea brasiliensis (rubber tree). The record is from RNAcentral. Lineage: Eukaryota; Viridiplantae; Streptophyta; Magnoliopsida; Malpighiales; Euphorbiaceae.